UGACUCUCACCACAGAGUGAUUAAUCAUAGUAAACUAUGUGCCAGCUUAUAUAUGUGAGUCCAAUCGAUCUAUCUUUUAUUGGCAUUACCCAUUGUGUAGAUUGGGAUUAUCUGCACCAACCUUCAUAGACUCCUAAAACUAUCCUAGGAUUAUCAGUUUCUCAAACAAUUGAAGUUGCAGCCUAUGUGAAAUCUUUAUUGCCUGAUAUGGUAGCACUAACUGUUUUUCUUUAUUUUAUGAAUCACAGUCUAAAGGCUCAAAAGCAGUUGACCAUUACCUGUCACGGUAUACAAAACACCUAUCUAAUAUUGGGGAAAAUUCAGCUGAUAUGUUCAUAUGUGAAUCAUCCACCCAAUUAGCUACAAUGCUUUCCAAGGCCAGUACCAUACCAACAUUGGAGCCAAAAGAGCAUGUGCCAAAUUGGACACAUACAUACGGUAUGAAAAUUUA
Molecule: non-coding RNA, 451 nt
Organism: Triticum urartu
Lineage: Eukaryota; Viridiplantae; Streptophyta; Magnoliopsida; Poales; Poaceae
Source: RefSeq, a predicted model, not a curated record